UAUAUUUAAGUAUAAGAUGUAUAAAAGUUUUUGAUACUUUAGGAGAUAGUUUAAUUCUAUUAAAUAUAA
RNAcentral lists this transfer RNA (69 nucleotides) under Luciola curtithorax. RNAcentral describes it as "tRNA-Gln". Lineage: Eukaryota; Metazoa; Arthropoda; Insecta; Coleoptera; Lampyridae. The record is from RNAcentral.